RNAcentral lists this ribosomal RNA (813 nucleotides) under Triticum aestivum (bread wheat). RNAcentral describes it as "partial small subunit ribosomal RNA". Lineage: Eukaryota; Viridiplantae; Streptophyta; Magnoliopsida; Poales; Poaceae. The record is from RNAcentral.
AUGGGGAGCAUUGCGAUAGAGAUUACCUUGUCUAUUCUAAGGACCUGAAUAGACUAUUUUGCUUUGGUUGUAAAUUAUUUACAAAAGGGCAUAGAAAAGGGUCAACUUGAGAAUGAAAAGGAGCACCGGAGAAUUUUUUUCUCCAGAAUUGUUUACAUUAUUAAAUUUAUUGCCAAGCAUAAUCUAGCCUUUUGUGGUAGUAACAUCAAACUGUAUGAAGAUAGCAAUGGGAAUUUCUUGGAUCUAGUAGAGAUGUUGGCUGAAUUUAACACAGUUAUUCAAGAGCAUGCUUGUCGUAUUACAAAUGAAGAAACUCAUGCUCAUCAUCUUGAUCACAAGAUUUAGAAUGAGUUGAUACACUUGCUUGCUUCAGCUAUUAAGUUUGAGAUUGUUAAGAAAAUAAAGAGUAAAUAUUUCUCGGUCAUACUUGAUUGUACCGAUGCAAGCCACCAAGAACAGAUAUCUUCAAUUGUUAGGUAUGUGGAUUCAUCUUCAAGUCAUGUUUGUGUAGAAGAAUCCUUUCUAGGAUUUUUAGAUGUAAAUGGUACGACUGGGCAAGGACUUUUAGAAGUGCUAGAGAAUGAACUUAAGCUUCUUGAUCUUGAUAUAGAUAAUGUGGGACAAGGGCAUGAUAAUGGGUCAGAUAUGAAAGGAAAACAUCAUGGGGUACAAAGGAGAGUUUUGAAUGUAAAUCCUAGAGCGAUCUAUUCUACUUGUGGUUGCCAUAGCCUUAAUUUAACACUUUGUGAUAUCAUCCAAGACAUUUAUAUAACUUCUGCAAUUUUUACGAAGAAAUGCAAUUCUAAAAGAUAA